This 253-nucleotide ribosomal RNA is filed under the name uncultured bacterium. RNAcentral describes it as "partial 16S ribosomal RNA". It matches the Rfam family "Bacterial small subunit ribosomal RNA", at positions 524 to 776 of the family's 1533-position model. The record is from RNAcentral.
UACGUAGGGUGCGAGCGUUAAUCGGAAUUACUGGGCGUAAAGAGGGCGCAGGCGGUUCGUUGUGUCUGAUGUGAAAGCCCCGGGCUCAACCUGGGAAUGGCAUUGGAAACUGGCGAGCUAGAGUGUGGCAGAGGGGGGUGGAAUUCCGCGUGUAGCAGUGAAAUGCGUAGAUAUGCGGAGGAACACCGAUGGCGAAGGCAAUCCCCUGGGCCUGCACUGACGCUCAUGCACGAAAGCGUGGGGAGCAAACAGG